Peromyscus leucopus (white-footed mouse) is the source of this 901-nucleotide long non-coding RNA. RefSeq lists it as uncharacterized. The transcript has 3 exons. The record is from RefSeq and is a predicted model, not a curated record. NCBI's taxonomy places the organism in Eukaryota, Metazoa, Chordata, Mammalia, Rodentia, Cricetidae.
CAUCCUACCACAAGGACAAUUGCUCAUCUAGGUUCUGUCUGUCUUGGACCUGAUUGCAUAGACUAUUCUGGCAAUAAGUCAGAGGCAGAUAUACCUGCACCUGAUUUUUGAGUGUUGGGGUUAAAGUCAUGAGACAAUACACCCAGUUUGUCCAUCUUAUUUUCUUCUCUGUAGUUAGUUAUUGUUCAUACAUUUUCUCUCAUGUGUACUCUGUACUGUUCAUCAGUUUCCUUGUCUCUAUGUUUGUUAAUAGGCAUUUCUCUUGUAAGGUGGUAUCCUAUUCAAAGGGAACAGAAAUGACAGUGGUUACCCUCCUAUUCAGUUUCCUUCUAAAGUGACUUGGUGGUUACAUUAUAAUAUGUAUGUCAGGAAAUAAGUAUGAGGAGCACCAGAAUUGUAUGAAUAUACUGUCAAAGAAGUAUACAUUUGUAAUAUUCUCAGUACCAUGCUUUCUGCUGUACAUAUGUAUGGGAUCUUUUAGAAUGCAGUGACCUAUGAUGAUGUGCAUAUCAACUUCACUUGGGAAGAGUGGACUUUGCUGGACCCUUCCCAGAAGAAUCUCUACAAAGAUGUGAUGAUUGAGACCUACAGGAACCUCACUAUUAUAGGAUACAAUUGGGAAAAUCAUAAUAUUGAAGAACAUUUUCAAAAUUCUAGAAGACAUGUGAGGCAUGAGAGAAGUCAAACUGGAGAGAAGAACCCUUUCAUAUAUACUGAAUGUGGUAAAACCGUUGUAUAUGAGAAUCAUCUUCAAAGGCAUGAAAGUGCACCUAUGAGAGAGAAACCUUUUCAAUGUAAUCAGUGUGUUAAAGCUUUUGCCCAUCACAGUAAUCUUCAAAGGCAUAAAAGAACACAUACUGGAGAGAAACUUUAUGAAUGUAAUCAAUGUGGUAAAGCCUUU